UUUGAAAAAGGUUUUUCCUGCAGGAGCACCUCCAGUGAUGUCCCAGUGACUGCAGGGACUCAGCCUGUCCCUGCAGGUACUGCUCAGGCAGUGUGAGCUCUAAGAGUCCUUUGCUUUUCUCUCCUUUUUUGCUCUAGAUGCCAUUAAGGUGAAGAAGACCCUGGGGCAGAGGUUCCUCAGGUAGACAGCCAGGAAGGGAGUCAGGCCAGCCACGAGCACUUCCUUCUUCCUCUGUCCCACUGCAUUGAGAACCACCUGAGCCACCUCGGCCGCCGUCUGUCCCUGGGCCGUGGUCUUGUCCAUAACUGCCAAGGGAAAGCCCAGUGAGCACCAGUAUCAGCAGACAGGAACUGGGCAGAUUAUCCAUCUCUGCCUGAGGGCUGCAGCAAGCCAAGAACCCAGUCAGCAGCAGCAACCUGCUUUGGCAGCUUCCAGGCUGGAGUUUGAAUCAACAGGUUCCUUUGCUAUUCUGAGCGUCGUGGUGACACGGAGGAGAGAAGAUGUGCCACCCAUUCUGCAGCCCCUGUUCCAGCAGUAAUGAUCUCCAGAUGAAGGACAGGAAGAAGCUGGAAAUAGUAAUAUCAGAAAUAGUCCCCGGAGGGGCUGUCAGCCCUCGAGUCCCACCUCCAGUGGCAUUCUGAGUUCAUGCUGUGAGUAAAACUCCCAAAUUUCUCACCAAGCCUGCAGUGAACUUGGUGGGGAUUUUGCAAGCCUAAGCCCUGGGGGGUUUGAUGCCAUCUCUGUCUGUUUUAUUUGGAAGACUGAGCUCAGAGCAAGAUUUUAUGAAGUGUGCAUUUCUAUCUCAAAUUUUAGACAGCGUUAACUAGAAACCCACAUACUCUGGAUUUGACAGAAAUCAUCUCUGGCUGCAGAGAUUUGCUGCAGAGCCGAAGAUUUUCUUUAAUACUAAAUAAAAUAACCCCAGAGACAACCUUGAGAAGUCGAGUCUG
This is a long non-coding RNA of Chiroxiphia lanceolata (lance-tailed manakin), 950 nucleotides long. RefSeq lists it as uncharacterized. The transcript is spliced from 3 exons. Lineage: Eukaryota; Metazoa; Chordata; Aves; Passeriformes; Pipridae. The record is from RefSeq and is a predicted model, not a curated record.